This 694-nucleotide long non-coding RNA is filed under the name Phascolarctos cinereus (koala). RNAcentral's name for it is "lncRNA (ENSPCIG00000001172.2)". The record is from RNAcentral. Lineage: Eukaryota; Metazoa; Chordata; Mammalia; Diprotodontia; Phascolarctidae.
GAUUUGGGUAAAUGAUGCAGAUGAAAGGGGCAUUUGAAAGAACUAGUCAUGGACUUAUAAACAUGCCUGAAGAUCAAGAGUUGACCAGAUGUUCUUCAGACAAGGUCCAUGUCUCAACCGCAGAAUAACCUGAAAGCAAAAGCCCACUGAUGACACUCUUCUCACUAUUCGAGAUCAACUCUGCAUUGCCCCACACAGAUGCACAGAGCAUAUCUGUACCAAAAGAUGUGGUUCAAAUUGUACUGAGAUGGAAUUACAUGGAGAGAAAAAAAAUCUUGAUUUAAACCAGUCCUACUUUUUUUCAUCUGUGAGCAACUUCCAGAAGAAUAAGGCAUAUGUUGAGAUAAAUAUAAUGAAAAGUCAAGUAUUGAAGGAUAAGAAGAUGCAUAUGAAGUACCAAGAGAGCUCAGGGGAGAGAGGGACCCCAUCUGGCAAGAAGAAUCAGGAAGUGAAGUUUUGUCCACAGACCUUCAGGCAGAAAUCUUUUUCUUGACUGAGAGCUGCUGCUUCGGGCCCCACACAGAGAUGAAACAAGUUAGUCUUUCAUUGCUGUCAUGAGAAGACUUAAAAGACACUGAUAAAAAUAUCAUGGAUUCAUAAGGACAUUAUCAAAAAGCUCACAAAAUAAGUGAGUGAACAUGAUUAUCUCUUAGUGUGGAAAAAAAAAAUAAAAAACUGACCAUCUCCUCCCCCA